Molecule: ribosomal RNA, 388 nt
Filed under: uncultured eukaryote
Lineage: Eukaryota
Description: partial 18S ribosomal RNA
Rfam family: Eukaryotic small subunit ribosomal RNA
Source: RNAcentral
CAAUAGCGUAUGUUAAAGUUGUUGCAGUUAAAAAGCUCGUAGUUGGAUUUCUGAUCGAGACAUCAGGUCGGGUCCGAGAGGAUCAUGUACUUUGAUUUUGUUUUGAUCAUCCUUGGGGAGAGCAUUUCUGGCAUUCAGUUGUCGGGAUUGGGAUCCUCAUCGUUUACUGUGAAAAAAUUAGAGUGUUCAAAGCAGGCCUCGGCCUCUGAAUACAUUAGCAUGGAAUAAUAAGAUGGGACUUUGGUGGUCUAUUUUGUUGGUUUGCACGCCAAAGUAAUGAUUAAUAGGGAUAGUUGGGGGUAUUCGUAUUCAAUUGUCAGAGGUGAAAUUCUUGGAUUUAUGGAAGACGAACUACUGCGAAAGCAUUUACCAAGGAUGUUUUCAUUAA